Molecule: ribosomal RNA, 431 nt
Filed under: uncultured bacterium
Lineage: Bacteria
Description: partial 16S ribosomal RNA
Rfam family: Bacterial small subunit ribosomal RNA
Source: RNAcentral
ACGCACGCUGGCGGCAGGCCUCACACCUGCAAGUCGAACGAAGUCUUCGGACUUAGUGGCGCACGGGUGAGUAACACGUGGGAAUAUACCUUACGCUGGGGGAUAACAUCGGGAAACUGAUGCUAAUACCGCAUACGCCCUUCGGGGGAAAGAUUUAUCGGCGAAAGAUUAGCCCGCGUCCGAUUAGCUAGUUGGUGAGGUAAUGGCUCACCAAGGCUCCGAUCGGUAGCUGGUCUGAGAGGAUGACCAGCCACACUGGGACUGAGACACGGCCCAGACUCCUACGGGAGGCAGCAGUGGGGAAUAUUGGACAAUGGGCGCAAGCCUGAUCCAGCCAUGCCGCGUGAGUGAUGAAGGCCUUAGGGUUGUAAAGCUCUUUCACCCACGACGAUGAUGACGGUAGUGGGAGAAGAAGCCCCGGCUAACUUCGU